GUAGUUGAUCCGUGGCUACAGAACGACGCUGGCGGCAGGCCUAACACAUGCAAGUCGAGCGAACCCUUCGGGGUUAGCGGCAGACGGGUGAGUAACGCGUGGGAACCUACCCAGUGGUACGGAAUAGCCCAGGGAAACUUGGGGUAAUACCGUAUACGCCCGAGAGGGGAAAGAUUUAUCGCCAUUGGAUGGGCCCGCGUCGGAUUAGCUAGUUGGUGGGGUAACGGCCUACCAAGGCGACGAUCCGUAGCUGGUCUGAGAGGAUGAUCAGCCACACUGGGACUGAGACACGGCCCAGACUCCUACGGGAGGCAGCAGUGGGGAAUCUUGGACAAUGGGCGAAAGCCUGAUCCAGCCAUGCCGCGUGAGUGACGAAGGUCUUCGGAUUGUAAAGCUCUUUUGGCGGGGAAGAUAAUGACGGUACCCGCAGAAUAAGCCCCGGCUAACUUCGUG
Molecule: ribosomal RNA, 453 nt
Filed under: uncultured Hyphomicrobiales bacterium
Lineage: Bacteria; Pseudomonadati; Pseudomonadota; Alphaproteobacteria; Hyphomicrobiales
Description: bacterial SSU rRNA
Rfam family: Bacterial small subunit ribosomal RNA
Source: RNAcentral